Molecule: ribosomal RNA, 497 nt
Filed under: uncultured bacterium
Lineage: Bacteria
Description: partial 16S ribosomal RNA
Rfam family: Bacterial small subunit ribosomal RNA
Source: RNAcentral
GAUGAACGCUGGCGGCGUGCCUAAUACAUGCAAGUCGAGCGAACAGACGAGGAGCUUGCUCCUCUGACUUUAUCGGCGGACGGGUGAGUAACACGGGGAUAACCUACCUAUCAGACUGGGAUAACUUUGGGAAACCGUAGCUAAUACCGGAUAAUAUAUUGAACCGCAUGGUUCCAUAGUUAAAUACGGUUUUUCUUUGACUUAUAGCUUGAUCAGCCCCGCAUUAGCUAGUUGGUAAGGUAGCGGCUUACCAAGGCAGGUAUGCGAAGCCGCCCUAAAGGGGAGGUGGGACAGCUGGGAAGAGAGACAGGGUAGAGACACUGACGGGGAGAAACAGUAGAGAAUCUUACGCGAUGCAGGAGAGGGGGAUGGAGCAAAGCCGCGUGAGGGAUGAUGGACUUAGGAUCGUAAAACUCUGAUAUUAGGAAAGAAGAAAAGUGUAAGUAACCAGGAACAUAAUGACGGUACCGAAACAGAAAGCCACGGCUAACUACGUG